This 434-nucleotide long non-coding RNA is filed under the name Oryzias sinensis (Chinese medaka). RNAcentral describes it as "lncRNA (ENSOSIG00000001886.1)". Lineage: Eukaryota; Metazoa; Chordata; Actinopteri; Beloniformes; Adrianichthyidae. The record is from RNAcentral.
ACUUUGUCAGCAUUUCCAUUUCAUGAAAUACCGGCUUUUUGUGAAAGGGCUCAGUUGGAUGAAGAGGAGGAAGAGGAGGGGGAGCAGCAGGUGGAGGUGGCGGCGGCCAAGGAGGUGAGCCUGGGGAGUCGGUGGAGCAAGUACCUGGAGACAUGUGAAGAGGCGGAGCCAGAGUCCCCACAGCAGGAGGAGCCGGGGUCUGAGGCUAGAAAGCAGCUCUGUAGCAGCAGGAAGAGGAGGAGGGCAGAGGAGCUUCCACACACAGGAGGAGGAGACGAAGACUCUCAGGUGAGCUGCAGAGCUCUAUCAGAGAGAUCAGACAUGCUGCAGGGCUCCAGACUAACUUUCUUCACUAGGAGCACUGUGGCCCCCAACUGAAAAUUUUAGGGGCGCAACCAGAAAAUUUAGGGGCGCAUACCGUAAAUCAACAUGCG